AUGUGAAAUCCCCGAGCUUAACUUGGGAAUUGCAUUCGAUACUGGUUGGCUAGAGUAUGGGAGAGGAUGGUAGAAUUCCAGGUGUAGCGGUGAAAUGCGUAGAGAUCUGGAGGAAUACCGAUGGCGAAGGCAGCCAUCUGGCCUAAUACUGACGCUGAGGUACGAAAGCAUGGGGAGCAAACAGGAUUAGAUACCCUGGUAGUCCAUGCCGUAAACGAUGUCUACUAGCCGUUGGGGCCCUUGAGGCUUUAGUGGCGCAGCUAACGCGAUAAGUAGACCGCCUGGGGAGUACGGUCGCAAGACUAAAACUCAAAUGAAUUGACGGGGGCCCGCACAAGCGGUGGAGCAUGUGGUUUAAUUCGAUGCAACGCGAAGAACCUUACCUGGCCUUGACAUACAGAGAACUUUCCAGAGAUGGAUUGGUGCCUUCGGGAACUCUGAUACAGGUGCUGCAUGGCUGUCGUCAGCUCGUGUCGUGAGAUGUUGGGUUAAGUCCCGCAACGAGCGCAACCCUUUUCCUUAUUUGCCAGCACUUCGGGUGGGAACUUUAAGGAUACUGCCAGUGACAAACUGGAGGAAGGCGGGGACGACGUCAAGUCAUCAUGGCCCUUACGGCCAGGGCUACACACGUGCUACAAUGGUCGGUACAAAGGGUUGCUACACAGCGAUGUGAUGCUAAUCUCAAAAAGCCGAUCGUAGUCCGGAUUGGAGUCUGCAACUCGACUC
RNAcentral lists this ribosomal RNA (726 nucleotides) under uncultured Acinetobacter sp. Its description in RNAcentral is "bacterial SSU rRNA". It matches the Rfam family "Bacterial small subunit ribosomal RNA", at positions 592 to 1318 of the family's 1533-position model. The record is from RNAcentral. Lineage: Bacteria; Pseudomonadati; Pseudomonadota; Gammaproteobacteria; Moraxellales; Moraxellaceae.